Long non-coding RNA from Haemorhous mexicanus (house finch), 7807 nucleotides. RefSeq lists it as uncharacterized. The record is from RefSeq and is a predicted model, not a curated record. The transcript has 8 exons. Lineage: Eukaryota; Metazoa; Chordata; Aves; Passeriformes; Fringillidae.
ACGGCGCUGCCGCUGCUGGCGGGUUCAGGCCGGCCUGCGGGCGCUGUGGGCUCGCCGUGCCCCCGCGCAGCCCCACACAGCCCAAUCCGGCCCGGCCCGGCCGAGGAGCUCCCGCCCGGCCUCCUCCUUCUGCCGAGUGGCCGGGGGGCAGGCAAGGCUCCCUUCCCGGCCGCCCUCUCCCAGCCGGGACCUCCGCUGCCGUGCCGGGACAGACAAUGGACGAGGCGGUCCCGGAGAAACGUGGCCGCCGCCAAAGUACGGAGCAGGCAGGUUCCCAAAGACUGCAACGUCAUUAGGAAACACCGUCUGGUCGGAUUCCUUGCUGAAAAGUGGGAUCAAAUGCAUCUCUGUAGUUCCUGACAAACGACGCCAAAGCUGUUAUUAAAGCCUGCAGGGGCGGAGAUUUCAAGUGAAACAGUGAGCUGAUGGGACUGAGAAAACUUACAGCAACAUCUCAUAACUGGAAGUCAGAGGCACAGAGCUGCUUCUGAGCAUCUUUCUCUUGCAUGUCCCUUUGGAGUUUGAAGCUAUGCAUUGAUGUUGGAAGGAGGCAGGUGGCAGGUACAAAUUUUAUGAAAACAGCAGAGGAGGCUGAUACGACAACAGCUUUGAAAUAUGAAGAUGCUGCUGCCAAGGGAAAGGGAAUUGUUUGUUUUCUGUGUUUGACUUACUGGCUUAAAUAGCCACUAGGUUAGAUCAGCAGCCUGGAACCUCAUGCCUGUGGGCUGCCUGGGCUCCUCUGAAAGCACUCUGGUCAAUCUGCCAGUCAUAAUGCUGGCUGCUGGGAACAUGCCAAUAAAAUGUGCUGAUAAUUCUCAUCCUGCAGCAUUCUCUCUGAGCAGUCUGUCUCUUUCGUGUUCUCCAUGUCCUCACAAAGAAGUGCCCUUCCCUGGCUCAGCGCCCAGUGCCAACAGAACACCUUGCAGGAUCCUCAGCAGCGCAGACAACACUCCAAGAUGCCGGCCUCGGCUUGGAACGGAGCGGUGUCAUGGCGGAGACGACGGCCUUUGUCUCGCAGGGUGUGAAAGCAUCCGUUGUGCUGGCUCCACUGCGGCAGAAUGAUGUCUAAAGGGGGGAAAAGUGCUGGAAGUCCGAGUUGUGCGGCGCUGGCGGGGGAGCCCCAUCCCCAUGGUGUGCGUCCGAGGAAGGGCUCGCGGCGGAGGAGCCUGGUCUGUAAUCCUGGCACUCGUGCCUCCGGUCGCUGCCUGCCGCUUGCUCCUGGGGGUCUGGAUAAUCUCCCUUGGCUCUACGGCACUGUCUGGCCCGCGCUCAGGGCCCCCGUAACAUAUACCCGCUGCCGCGAUCGCAGGGAGCUGUGGCGUUGCCACUGAAUGGAUGGCACUGUGCCAACUCCGCUGCCAUCCGCCCUUGCAGCUCUUUUCCUCCCUCCUCCCUCUCGCUCUCCCCUCCUCCUCCUCCUCCCGUCGACUUGAUGUUAAUUAACACACGGGUUAAUUGAUUUUAAAAGCUGAAGAAUUACAGUUAAGUUUUCCCACAGGGUACGGCCGCCAGCCGCCUGGCACGGCGGUGCCUGGCGCGGUGCAGGGGCGGCAGCGCCCGCAGCCGGACCUGCCCCGCCGAGGGAUGCACGGCCGGCCCUGCCCGGGGAUGCACGGCCGGCCCUGCCCGGGGAUGCACGGGCUGCUGGAGCCUGCCGGGGCGGCUGGCACUCCUGCCUCGUCCUUCCGAUCGAUCACCGCUCUAUUUUGCUACGGACACAAGCCCUCCCCUCGGCUCUGCCAUGCACCUUUCAAACGGAGCGCGGCUGAAGCUGCGGCAGAGCAGCCGUGCCCCGAGCCCCGUGGCAGCCCACGGGCGGCUCACAGUGCACGGUCCCCGGCCCGAGCACCCCGCGUGGCAGCGAGCAGCGCCAGAGGCCCCCAGCCGCCACCGGCUUGUCCGGCCCGCCGCAGCUCAGCUGCUCUAAUCGGCUCCGAUGUGUUGCUUGGGGCGAAGCAUCAAAACCAAGGGAAAGUUAGUUUGUUGUAAUUAGGAGAGAAAUAACCCAUCUGGGCUUCGGUUUUUCACUCUCCCUUGCCCCAGUGUGCCGCUGGUGAGGGUGACAGAGUGGCAGGAGGAGGCGCAGCAGCGCUGGGAACUUGCUGCUUUCACCUUCCUGUGCUUUCAUUUUAUUUCAUUUUGUUUUUUAAAAGCAUGAAGCAAGUGAAGCGACAAGAGGAAUCCAUUAUGCAAAUCAGGUCACAUUUGCAUAAUGUCUCAUGACUGGAAUAUGCAAAUGAGUUGUAUAAUUUAUGAGUGCCAGUGUCUGUCUAAAAGUGUUUCCCAGAAUUUACAAAAACUGCAGCGUGGAGAGGCAGCUGCUGGUUGCCCUGCCAGGAGGGUCCACACUUGCUCUACAAAGUCCGCUUGAGUCUGGGAGUGCAAACGUCUGGGAAUGAGAACGGAGCCCCCCUUCCCACCCGGUCCUCUUGCUUUAUUUAUUUCCCAUUACUCCCUCCACCAAGCUCCCACCUGCUCCCCUCGAAUUGCUCUGAGGAGGCAAGGCUAGGGCCAGGGCAGCGGGCUGGAGGGACGGGCAGUCCCACAGGUGGCUCAGCCGGGGCUCGCUGGUGUCCCCUGGGGCUGUCACCAGCCGCAGAGCCCGGCGCUGUUCAGGUGAGCGAGCUCACAGGCACGAUGUGCGCUGAGGAGCCGCUCGGAGCCCCUCACCACCCACAGUGGGAUGGAUUCCUGCUGGUUUACUCUGCCAGCUCCAGCCCUGCUCGGAUCUGAGCCCCGUGACCUGGGGGACAGCUGCAGGCUCAGCGCAGGGCUGGCACUGCCAGCCGAGGGACCCCGAGUGUCCUGUCCAACGCACAGCGUUCCAUGUCAGCACUGGAAAGGCUCUGGAAUAUCCGGACAUUCAGGCAGGUAUUAAGACAUUUUCUUUUCUUUUCUCCCUCUUCUUUGCAUGUCUGGUGAUCUGGGGAGCACCAAGAGGGUGCAUUUGGGAUCCUGCACCUGGGCAAGCCACUGUUGUGAGCUAUCUGCACAGGGAGAGGAUAAAUAAUAAUGUGCAGGCCCGUGGAAAGCUGUGUGGGUCACAGCCUGCCACUCUGGGCAGCAUCUGACGAGAAGCAGCGGGAUGGGAGAGCCCAGGGGUCAGGAGAGAUCAGCAUCAGCCUUCCUCAGCUUUGUGAAGUCCCCAAAAGGGCUUUUGGGCAAGAAAGUGUGAAUUGCUGUUCUCAAGAGUCUGAGUUUCAAUUGUAAAACCCAAAUGUUUGUCUCCCUGGUUCCAAAUCAUUUUUGGUGUUAGAUGCCUCCAAAGUGAAGAAUCUCACGUUUUCCAUCAGUUUCAAAAUACUGUGGCUGUGUGUGUGGUUUGUUUAGUGGAUGCAGGUAAAGACUGUGGCAGUGAGAGUCACACUGAGCAUCCCCAGGAAAAAGCAGUGAGUUCAUAGACUGUGCUUUUACCUGUGGCUGGAGAUUUCUGGUGUGGGAAUAUGAAGAGACCCUCCACAUCAGGUACAAGGCAAACCACCAUGUAGUCUGUGUGACACAUCAGUGAGAGGCAGCAGCACAGCCAGACUCUGAACCAUCUUGUGCUUGUUGCUGCUCGGGGUUGGUGCCUGCACCAAGGGGUGACUGUCACCCCAGCACCGAGGGCUGACUGUCCCCAUGCUGGUCCUUGCUGGCACAGAAAAGCAGCUGAGUCUGACAUGGAGAAGGUGCAAGAGCAGGGAACAACUGGUGUGUCCCCCUGGAGGCAGGGUGCUUUGUGGACAGCAGGAAGGGCUGAGAGCAGUGGGAGGAAGAGGGAUGGUGGCCCUGGGGAAUUUCCCACAGCUCCAUGAUCAGUGGAUCCAUCCUGCAAUGUCAGGAGUCAGAGAUCUUUUUAACCUCAAGGCAAACCACCCUGUUUCACUUGUCACAAAGGCUCCUGCAGGCUGGAAAGGAGAGACAGAUGCCUGCUUCCCUGUUGGGGUCUUCAGUGUAGCACCAGCAGAUCCUACACUGGACUGGUGUGGGUCUCCAGAUGGGGACCAGGGAUGGGCUCGCUGUCAGAGCUGCCCAGCACCAAGGCUGGGCCAUGGCUGGGAGGAAGAGCUCUUCCUGUGGGGCAAUUUGCAGGUGUCAGGGGGUACUCACUCUUUGUUUGGGGGGAGCCCACUGCUGUGUCUGGAGCUGCCCCACCGUGUCCUGGGCGGUGUGGGGUCUGGUGUCAGUCACACUCCUUGUGCCAAGGGCUGCAUGGGGAGCUGGUCCCAGUCCCCAUCCUGCUCUGGGCUGUUCAGUGUGCUGGUUCUGGUCCCCAGCUCACACUCUAUGCUCCUUUCUGAUAUUUUUAUGAAACACCAAAACACAUGAAUGUUCUGUUGUGGUUUUGGUGCUGCACAGAGGGCUGGAGAAUGUUUAGGGAUGAAACAGCUUUUUUGGGGUGGGAGAAGGAAAGGUCAUCCAGAAUAGGCACCAAAACCUCUAUCUGCCAUACAAGAUUGUCUGGUCUCUGUAGGUCAGUAACAAGGGACAGCUCAUGGGGAAUCUCUCACACUGCUGCUCCUUCAUGGUCUGUGUUUCUUUUGAGGUGGUGGCUUUUGCCAGCUGAGCAGAGCAUACCUGACAGAUUCCUGUUGCUCUCUUCCAGUGUUCUCCUGUGGUUCCUCACCCGUGGCAUUGGAAGAACUUCCUGCAGCUCCACCCUUGGGACUUCCUGGGGCCUUUGUGUGCAGGACUUGCUCUCUGUCCCUCAAUGAGAUAAACUGUGUGAAACACAGAUCCAGGGACUUUGAUCUGUGGCUCCUCUGUGCCUGGGGCUCCCCAGCAGAGCACAGUUUAGCCAUGUGUCUGUUGGCAUUGCCUGUUGUUAUCAUUUCCAACAAGGGUUCCCAUUCAACUUAGAGUCACUCCACUGCCUGCUUCCAUUCUUCCAGUACCAAUGCUGUUUUGAGCAGUUGGAUACAGUUACAGAUAGCCCCCCCAAAAACUGCAGUUUCCUUCCAGCCUCUCCUGGGUAAGGCAUGCACCAUCAGGCAAUGCCAGCCUUGGCAAUUUUCCACUCCUAUCGACUCCAAACAGCUGCUGGUGCCAAUGCAAUGACCCACAUUCUGAGCUGGCAGCUCUUUCCCUCCCUUACUCAGUCUUCCAGAAGAAGGGUGACGUAGAGACAGACUCUAAGCACUGUCUGAGCAGGUCCAUGAGGGCACCAGUGUGCCAGCAAAAAGCAUCAGCCAUUAGCAUCACAUCACCUGCCUUAGCACACCUGGCAGAUGUGCUCAGCAUUAGGAACAGCUUGCCUGCAUGGGGCUUUUUGCCUGAUGGUUAUAGUUAAAAACAGUUCUAAGCAGAGCGUGUAAAAUCUUUAAAUCUUUAACAAAUCUCUCAUAAUUCCCAGCUAAGUAGAUUAAAGUUGACUGCAGGCUUUAAAAAGAAGCAAGCUGAUCACUUGCAGGACAGAGAAAAUAAAUGAAAUUAAAACCAUCACAGGGUAAAUGUGCAGCUCCCAUGUUCCUGGUGUAGAUAAAAUUAGGGUGGCAGGAUGGCAGGCAGACCACUGGUCCUGGGUUCGAUGGAGGCAAAGAUUCAGUGAGAUGAGGCAAUACAGCACAAUUCUGUAUCAAAAGAAUCACUCAAAAGCAUCAAAGAUGCUGCAGGCAGAUUUUAUCAGGAUGCUGCGCACUUGGGGAACAAAGUGGUGUUGUGUGGACAGCUUCUUCAGCCAAACAGGACAGGCUGCUGAAGUCCCAGGCAGAAGUCAGGAUCCUUGUUAAGAUUCAUGCUGAUGUUAAGGUCCCGAGCAUCAGAGCAGCCUGUUUGUGGCUCUGGUACUCUCUUCACAGCGGUCACUGCAGCCCAUCUGUGUUUGUAAAGAUAGCUCUGAUUGGAAAUUAUAUGGUUAAAUAUCUCGGUUCAGUGGAAUUCAGCCACUUAGACUUUUCUUCAGUGACUGAAGGAGCAGAUUUUGUAGGAUUAGGCUCCUAUCUGGAGAGAUCUGGUGUUUCUCUUCCUUAGAACCAUGUGUUCCUUCCUGUGUGUAUUCCCGUAUAAGGUGGAGGAGCAUUGCUGGCUGCAGCUGUCACAGUACAGGUGAAAGCCCUCCAGCAGUGCUGCUGCAGAUCAUCACUGCAGUCCCUCAGCAGGGCCAGUCACUUCACUGCCAGCUGCUGCUCCCCUGCCUGCCUGCUCACACAGUGCCUGUGGCUCCUGCUCCCCCAGACACUCUGUCACCCUUUCUCGUGUUUUGCCCAGCCUAGUGGUGCCCACUCACUUUGCCAGCUCAGUGAUUCUGUUUACUUUGUUUUUGCCACUGUCACUGUGCUGUCCCCAGACCCAGGACUGGGACUUUCUGCUCCAGUACCUGCAGAUGUGUGUCUCAAAGGUAACACCAUGAUGAGCCAUGCUAGAAACUGCAGCAGUAUCUCCUGCUGCUGUGAUCACAUACUUGAAUGGAAGCACUGGUGUUUGAUCCUGAAGAUGUGGGAUAGCAGCAGGUUUUUGGGGUUUGGUGGUGAGCCAGAGAAACAGGUGAUGCAGGACAAAUCUUCUGAAGGGACAAAGGCUGCUCAAACUCCUGAGCAUAUGCCCAGAGAAGGGAGGUCUUGACACUCCCCCACUUUGGCAGGUGGUGUUUGGCUCCUUGAGAGCAGCUGAGAUUUGGGAGGGUUUUGCAAGCUGGGUGGGUGGUCACAUCCCUUGUCCCUCCCCCAUCCUGUGAGAUGAGCAGAGCAGACCUGGCACAGGUGACUCAGCCUGGGCCCUCACUGCUCAGAGAGUUUUAAUGGCAGAAGGAAGAAGCUGAAGUUUCCAAAGCCCCAGAAAAGGGCUCCUGAAAUGGUGACACUUCUGUUCUAAUGAAGUUACACUUUGUCUAUUCAUGGAAGGACAUGGCUCUAAACAAGGACAGGAGGGUGCCCUGCCUUAGCCUGACUCUGCCAAAAUGACAAGAGGUUCAUGUUGUUGCUCUCAGGUGACCACAGAAUAUUGUACUCAGACACUGUACUGAGGUGACAUCUGCUCCCCUUCCUCCCAAACAGACAGCUUCCUCACCCUACAGACUGCCCCAGGGCACAAUAAGUAGGUUAAUGCUUGCUUUAGGGUUAGCCUGAGGGUGAGGGUUCCCUGCAGGAACAGCAGAGUGAGGUUUCCUCUGUGCCUUUGUGAGUUCAUGUGUAGGGAUGCCUCCAAGGCAAAUGAAUUCCUACUGCUCCCAUUUCAUCACUGUGUGCCUCUUCCUGCUUCUUUGGGAUGGUGAUGUUCCUUGAGAUGACAGAGCUUUGAUUUCAGUUCCGCCAGGCUCCUAUGCUUUCCUUUGCAUGGUUUUUCCAUUUGUCAUUCAUUCUUCCAUGUCCUUGCUUCCCAGUCCUCGUUCUGGCCAGGGCAGGGAGUGGGAGCUCCAGCAGCUGCCUUGCCCUGCCUCAUGCUUCUGGCUGCCUGUUUCUUCUAUGGCCAGAUUGGCUCCCAAAAAGGAAAACAAACCAAAACACAUCAGUGGUUCUGAAUUACAAAUAUGGGUGUUCAAAAUGCAUGAAAUGAGAAAUUUCGGGCGCUUACUGCAAGAUGAAUCCACCUGUGUUGGACAUGAGUGGCAUUUCCUAUUUAUGCUCAGACUCUUGAAUAUAAAGCUAAAACAGAUGUCAAGGCAGCUGUGGACUGAGAAAACAGCAUCAGGUUGGAGAAGAGGGAGGUUUUGGUGUGUUCAUCAUUACAGACUUUGGCUGUGGCAAAGGAAAGAUAAAGAGGUGCCUAGAACCAGGUAUUCAAAAUUAAUUUCCUAUUUGUAUAGUAAUGCGUGAAGUCCCUGUGUUUAAUUUGCAUGUAAAUAUUGACUUAUAUUGUUACAUAAAAGUAGUAUUGACAUUUUCCAUGGAAA